AAUAUUGGACAAUGGGCGCAAGCCUGAUCCAGCCAUGCCGCGUGAGUGAUGACGGCCUUAGGGUUGUAAAGCUCUUUCACCGGUGCAGCUAAUGACGGUAACCGGCGACGAAGCCCUGGCCAACUUCGUGCCAGCAGCCGCGGUAAUACGAAGGGGGCUAGCGUUGUUCGGAAUUACUGGGCGUAAAGCGCACGUAGGCGGAUUAUUAAGUCAGGGGUGAAAUCCCGCAGCUCAACUGCGGAACUGCCUUUGAUACUGGUAAUCUAGAGACCGAGAGAGGUAAGUGGAACUCCUAGUGUAGAGGUGGAAUUCGUAGAUAUUAGGAAGAACACCAGUGGCGAAGGCGGCUUACUGGCUCGGAACUGGCGCUGAGGUGCGAAAGCGUGGGGAGCAAAC
This 396-nucleotide ribosomal RNA is filed under the name uncultured bacterium. RNAcentral's name for it is "partial 16S ribosomal RNA". It matches the Rfam family "Bacterial small subunit ribosomal RNA", at positions 360 to 773 of the family's 1533-position model. The record is from RNAcentral.